AGAAGUUCCUUUGGAUCUGAGAGUGUAAAGACUCUGGUCCUACAGUCCCUGCAGCAGUAUUGCCUCAUCUAUGACAACGGAGAUCGUCAGGGACUCCUCAAUGCCUACCAUGCCGAGGCUUGCUUCUCAUUGACCGUCCUCUUCAGUUCCACAGACUCAUCCUCCCACAGUCAGCUCAAACUCUUACCUAGAGCACUGCACCCUGCUCUGCAGCAGAGCCAGGCAAUGUCUUGGAAUCAUUUCACUGGCUGGACCACCACAGCUGUUUCCUCCUUUACUCCUGGGAACAGUUUGUGCGAGUACUUCAAGUAUAGCAGAAAUAUGAAGGUUCUCAAGCAUCCUUGUAAGUGUGUGGUGGGUAAGAUGGCGCAGGAUGAAUGGGGACGGAGGGCGCCAUCACAGAUGCCAGAGGCUAAGGUUCCUGAUGUUGCCCUCCCCGUUUCUGCCACACUCUCUUGACUCCACAGCAACAGCUGCUUGUUCCUAGACCCUUUUGUAUGUGACUCUGACUAGGACAAGCUGUGUGGGUGUGUAAAAAGCAUGUGCAACUCCAAGGACACUAUCUUUCUCUCAUCUCCUUUACAGAUAUGUGGAGACGGCUGCUGAAGCAUAAAAAAAUGUGACAUUAUUUGCUUUCUUCGUACAUUGUCCAAAACUCAGCAUGACCUCACCUCCUUUGUGGUGGGCAUGUGUUUCCAGACAGUAAGCACCUGCUACUUCCUUGGGCCACCUCACAUACUCAGAAAGCUGAGGGUGAGCAGAAACUUAUGCAGCACCCUGAGCCUGUGCCUUCUUCUCUUUCAGGAUUCGAUGCUCUGCUUCUCUGUUAGUGGAUUAUUCAAGGAAGUGGAGGGCAGCUCUCAAGGAUGUGUCCAUGCUUUCACUCAGACCUUCAUUGCUACCUAUAUGGGAAGAUUUCAGAGUGCCUUAAUGAUGAGCAGUAGGAUUACAGAAAAGCAAUACAAAGCCUUGCUUUGCUCAAGGUGAAGGACACAAUCCCAGAGGAUACCUUCACACUGACAGGUCCAGGAUCCUAAGAACAUACCAAGAAGAAAUUCCUGGGUGCCACUGUCUUCUUUCUUCAAACCUCUGUUGUGAUUUUGUUCUAGUACAGUAAUUUCCAUGUAAAUGAAUUGGGACAUCUAGUUACCUUCUGGAAGCUAAGGCCUAUCUUGUAAAGCUAACUCUUACAUAUCUAAAGGAGAUGUUGUUUGUGCAUUUGCCACAUAUUUCAGGAUCCUUGUUUAUUAUACUUUCUCUUAUUAUAAAUUUUAUUCAAUUUGUUGAGCAUUUCGUGUUUAUGUAAUAUAUUCUAGUUACUUUCACCCUUCCCCCUGUCAAAUCUCCUUCCUACCCCUCCCUCUUCCCUAUAAGUCUGUGUCUCACACUCAUGGCUUUUGUUUUGUGUUAUGCCUCUGUGAGUAAAAACAGGGCCAUCUAUGUGACCAUGUGUUUAGAACUGUCCAUUGGGUUCAGCUGUCAAUACACAGUUAAAGACAAUGAUUGUCUUUCCUCUAGAAUCUGUCAGUGGCCAAUAGUUUGGUAGAGAGGGAUAGGCCCCCAUUCUAUGAUCAACUAAUGAGAGGCCUAGUCUUGUCUAGGCCCAAUAGAGGCAAUCUCAGUCGCUGAAAGAUUAUGGUAAUUAUGUCAUGCUCAGAAGAUACUAUUGAUGUUGCCAGUCACGUUGAAUCCCUUCAAAAUCCACUGAAGGCAAACCAUUAUUAUAAGAAUGAGU
This 1735-nucleotide long non-coding RNA is filed under the name Cricetulus griseus (Chinese hamster). Its description in RNAcentral is "lncRNA (ENSCGRG00000024976.1)". Lineage: Eukaryota; Metazoa; Chordata; Mammalia; Rodentia; Cricetidae. The record is from RNAcentral.